This 269-nucleotide ribosomal RNA is filed under the name uncultured bacterium. RNAcentral describes it as "partial 16S ribosomal RNA". It matches the Rfam family "Bacterial small subunit ribosomal RNA", at positions 333 to 598 of the family's 1533-position model. The record is from RNAcentral.
GUGCCCCUACGGGGCGCAGCAGUGAGGAAUAUUGGUCAAUGGGCGCAAGCCUGAACCAGCCAAGUCGCGUGAGGGAUGACGGUCCUAUGGAUUGUAAACCUCUUUUGUCGGGGAGCAAGGCCCGCCACGUGUGGCGGGAAGGAGAGUACCCGAAGAAAAAGCAUCGGCUAACUCCGUGCCAACAGCCGCGGUAAUACGGAGGAUGCGAGCGUUAUCCGGAUUUAUUGGGUUUAAAGGGGGCGUAGGCGGGAGGUUAAGUCAGCGGUCAA